RNAcentral lists this unclassified non-coding RNA (249 nucleotides) under Hevea brasiliensis (rubber tree). Lineage: Eukaryota; Viridiplantae; Streptophyta; Magnoliopsida; Malpighiales; Euphorbiaceae. The record is from RNAcentral.
GAAAUUUGUUGCCUAAUUGAUGAGUUUUUAGAAACAGCUUGACCCUAUAAUUACUGCACUAGGCUGGAUCAGUCAGUUAAAAUUUCAUGUGAUUAAAAGCAUUUGGACCAUUAUUUGUCCGCAAACUAAUCUUAAUCCAAUUGGUGAAAUCCAUCUGGUUUGUAGCUGUCCAGAGUUGUUUGCUUAUUUAUUUAGUAAUCAGUAUAUUACUUGUUGACCAACAUUGUUUCUGCAUGUUCCAUGUUGCUG